UCUUUACGCAGGUGAGCAGUCCUAUAUUAGAUUAUGCCCUUCAAUGACAUUGUCUUUCCACCGUACGACAUUACUGGAAUUCCUUUUUGGUGAUCUAAAUCAUCGUAUGUAAGAUAGCGCGUAGCAUUUCGCUAAGAACCAAGACUCACGAUCUACUAAGCUUUAUAUUGAUUCAAAUCCAAUCGUGACUGACAGGAAAUUUUACUACACAACGAGUAGUACACGCAUGUGUUAAACAUAUAGAUGAAGUCACUUCAAAACGAACCACCUAUGAGCUAAAACUUGACACUUAGAUAGAGGAGGAAGUAGAAAGAAAAUCUUUAUACGCUAUUAUCAUCCAAUGAAUUCAUUGCAACACCACGAAUAAUGAGACUUCUGUCUCGCGUACCUGCCCGACGGGUA
This 402-nucleotide long non-coding RNA is filed under the name Nicotiana benthamiana. RNAcentral's name for it is "long non-coding RNA (NBEN_LNC019725)". The record is from RNAcentral. Lineage: Eukaryota; Viridiplantae; Streptophyta; Magnoliopsida; Solanales; Solanaceae.